UCCACGUCGUUUAUUACCAGCGUCCCGUCGACGUCGUUGGGGAUCGAACCGAGUACGUUGUUGGAUCAAUCGACAGUGCUUGGCACUGAUCGACACCAAAGACAGCGAGCGACAGCACGCCGAGGUCGCCGAGCCGAGCAUUAGAGGGUAGAUAAGGGAGGAUCUAGGAGGAUCCAUUGCGUUGGACCGGACCGGACGAGCCGAGCUUUAACCCUCGUUUCCUCCCCUCCGGUUAAAGCGUCGAGGAUGGCCGAUGUCAAACAAGAUCACAAGGGCGAGGACGUUGACAGCUAUGGAAUGGGCAACAGCGCCGACCCGAAGAACAUGCAGGAGCUGACGCAAUACGUGCAAACGCUGUUGCAGAACAUGCAGGACAAGUUUCAAACCAUGUCUGACCAGAUCAUAGGAAGAAUAGAUGAAAUGGGUAACAGAAUAGACGACUUGGAGAAGAAUAUCGCAGACCUAAUGACACAAGCAGGAGUCGAAGGAGGUGAUAAAUAAGCUCAUUCUUUCUUCAAUGCACUCGUCUAUAAGUAUAACGACUUAUCUAAAGUAUCGCUAUACUUUAUCAUCAUGGAAAAAAAUUGUAUACUGAUAAUAACUGAGAUAUCGACUAAACCGAUAUAACAAUUAGGUUACUCAACUUCAGUGGAAUGCGGGUUACAUUGAUUCUUAUAUUAUUUUUAAUGAAGUUUCUCUUAUCUUUUUAAAACAAUGUUGGGCAU
This is an RNA transcript of Mycetomoellerius zeteki, 725 nucleotides long. It is a transcript of the gene named heat shock factor-binding protein 1, with no coding region annotated. The record is from RefSeq and is a predicted model, not a curated record. Lineage: Eukaryota; Metazoa; Arthropoda; Insecta; Hymenoptera; Formicidae. The transcript is spliced from 4 exons.